RNAcentral lists this ribosomal RNA (505 nucleotides) under uncultured bacterium. RNAcentral describes it as "partial 16S ribosomal RNA". It matches the Rfam family "Bacterial small subunit ribosomal RNA", at positions 28 to 507 of the family's 1533-position model. The record is from RNAcentral.
GACGAACGCUGGCGGCGUGCCUAAUACAUGCAAGUAGAACGCACAGUUUAUACCGUAGCUUGCUACACCAUAGACUGUGAGUUGCGAACGGGUGAGUAACGCGUAGGUAACCUGCCUGGUAGCGGGGGAUAACUAUUGGAAACGAUAGCUAAUACCGCAUAAUAUUAAUUAUUGCAUGAUAAUCGAUUGAAAGAUGCAACUGCAUCACUACCAGAUGGACCUGCGUUGUAUUAGCUAGUAGGUGAGGUAACGGCUCACCUAGGCGACGAUACAUAGCCGACCUGAGAGGGUGAUCGGCCACACUGGGACUGAGACACGGCCCAGACUCCUACGGGAGGCAGCAGUAGGGAAUCUUCGGCAAUGGACGAAAGUCUGACCGAGCAACGCCGCGUGAGUGAAGAAGGUUUUCGGAUCGUAAAGCUCUGUUGUAAGAGAAGAACGGGUGUGAGAGUGGAAAGUUCACACUGUGACGGUAUCUUACCAGAAAGGGACGGCUAACUACGUG